AGUGAACGCUGGCGGUAUGCCUAACACAUGCAAGUCGAACGGCAACACAGUAACGGGUUGCUCUGACGGGUGGCGGGUGGCGGACGGGUGAGGAAUACAUCGGAAGCUACGUUUUCGUGGGGGAUAACGUAGGGAAACUUACGCUAAUACCUCAUACGGCCUACGGGUGAAAGCAGGGCAUCUUCUGACCUUGCGCGAUUGAAUGAGCCGAUGUCGGAUUAGCUAGUUGGCGGGGUAAAGGCCCACCAAGGCGACGAUCCGUAGCUGGUCUGAGAGGAUGACCAGCCACACUGGAACUGAGACACGGCCCAGACUCCUACGGGAGGCAGCAGUGGGGAAUAUUGGACAAUGGGCGCAAGCCUGAUCCAGCAAUGCCGCGUGGGGGAAGAAGGCCUUCGGGUUGUAAAGCCCUUUUGGUAGGAACGAAAAGCAGCAGGCUAAUACCGCGCGGUUAUGACGGUACCCACAGAAUAAGCACCGGCUAACUUCGUG
Molecule: ribosomal RNA, 492 nt
Filed under: uncultured bacterium
Lineage: Bacteria
Description: partial 16S ribosomal RNA
Rfam family: Bacterial small subunit ribosomal RNA
Source: RNAcentral